UCAGGAUGAACGCUGGCGGCGUGCUUAACACAUGCAAGUCGAACGGUGAAAGAGAGCUUGCUCUCUGGAUCAGUGGCGAACGGGUGAGUAACACGUGAGCAAUCUGCCCCUGACUCUGGGAUAAGCGUUGGAAACGACGUCUAAUACCGGAUACGAGCUGCGAAGGCAUCUUCAGCAGCUGGAAAGAACUUCGGUCAGGGAUGAGCUCGCGGCCUAUCAGCUAGUUGGUGAGGUAAUGGCUCACCAAGGCGUCGACGGGUAGCCGGCCUGAGAGGGUGACCGGCCACACUGGGACUGAGACACGGCCCAGACUCCUACGGGAGGCAGCAGUGGGGAAUAUUGCACAAUGGGCGCAAGCCUGAUGCAGCAACGCCGCGUGAGGGACGACGGCCUUCGGGUUGUAAACCUCUUUUAGCAGGGAAGAAGCGAAAGUGACGGUACCUGCAGAAAAAGCACCGGCUAACUACGUGCCAGCAGCCGCGGUAAUACGUAGGGUGCAAGCGUUAUCCGGAAUUAUUGGGCGUAAAGAGCUCGUAGGCGGUUUGUCGCGUCUGCUGUGAAAACCCGAGGCUCAACCUCGGGCCUGCAGUGGGUACGGGCAGACUAGAGUGCGGUAGGGGAGAUUGGAAUUCCUGGUGUAGCGGUGGAAUGCGCAGAUAUCAGGAGGAACACCGAUGGCGAAGGCAGAUCUCUGGGCCGUAACUGAC
This 707-nucleotide ribosomal RNA is filed under the name Microbacterium sp. L1909. RNAcentral describes it as "bacterial SSU rRNA". It matches the Rfam family "Bacterial small subunit ribosomal RNA", at positions 24 to 744 of the family's 1533-position model. Lineage: Bacteria; Bacillati; Actinomycetota; Actinomycetes; Micrococcales; Microbacteriaceae. The record is from RNAcentral.